CAGGGGCUGGGGGCCCUACAGCACCCCCGCCUCCCUCAGCCUUCUGCAGCAUGUCCAGGGCCUCCCAGAAGAAGUCCUUCUGUGCAGCCAUCAGGGGCAUCCACCCUACGAUCUCCUUCAUCUUCUCCAUGCGGUCCUGCAACGUGUGGCAACUGUGGAUCUGGCUGAGCUUGACGAAGGAGGCACUCCCCUUGGGCCAGCCUGGGAGGCGGCCCCCAGCCCCACAGCCGCAGCCCAGCAGCUCCUUGCUGAACUCUGAGCUCUGGCUCAGCACCAGAGAGUGGUUGAGGCCACACCACAGGGUGAUGGGCCGCUGCAGCCCACCCAUCUGUGCCAGUCCAGCCUCUCAUCUUGCCUGCCAGCCUCGGGGAGACUUGCUCCUUGUGCAACUUCAGAUGGAGUCUCGCUGUGUUGCCCAAGCUAGACUUCAGUGGCAUGAUCUCAGCU
Long non-coding RNA from Piliocolobus tephrosceles (Ugandan red Colobus), 447 nucleotides. RefSeq lists it as uncharacterized. The transcript has 4 exons. The record is from RefSeq and is a predicted model, not a curated record. Lineage: Eukaryota; Metazoa; Chordata; Mammalia; Primates; Cercopithecidae.